This 437-nucleotide ribosomal RNA is filed under the name uncultured bacterium. RNAcentral describes it as "partial 16S ribosomal RNA". It matches the Rfam family "Bacterial small subunit ribosomal RNA", at positions 8 to 304 of the family's 1533-position model. The record is from RNAcentral.
AGAGUUUGAUCCUGGCUCAGAUGUGAACGCUGGCGGCAUUGCCUUACACAUUGCAAGUCGAACGGUAACAGGAAGCUUGCUCCGCUGACGAGUGGCGAACGGGUGAGUAAUAUAUCGGAACGUGCCCUGGAGUGGGGGAUAACUAGUCGAAAGAUUAGCUAAUACCGCAUACGAUCUACGGAUGAAAGUGGGGGACCCGCUCGUAAGGGCCUCAUGCUCCUGGAGACGCGCCGCAUAAUCUUGAUAUAACUCAUAUUUGGGUUGAAGGUUAAAGGGCCUCCCCCCAAGGGCCUUCCGAUUCCAGUUAAGCUUGGGUUCUUGAAGAAGGGAACCGAACCCAGGCCCCACCACCUGGGGGAAACCUGAAGAAACACCGGGGCCCCCAGNAACCUCCCCUUACCGGGGGAAAGGGGCCAAGCCCAAGNUGGGGGGGGGAA